Molecule: ribosomal RNA, 299 nt
Filed under: uncultured bacterium
Lineage: Bacteria
Description: partial 16S ribosomal RNA
Rfam family: Bacterial small subunit ribosomal RNA
Source: RNAcentral
CUAUGCGCCUUGCCAGCCCGCUCAGGUGUGCCAGCCGCCGCGGUAAUACGUAUGGUGCAAGCGUUAUCCGGAUUUACUGGGUGUAAAGGGAGCGCAGGCGGCGCGGCAAGUCUGAUGUGAAAGCCCGGGGCCCAACCCCGGGACUGCACUGGAAACUGCCGUGCUGGAGUGUCGGAGGGGUAAGCGGAAUUCCUGGUGUAGCGGUGAAAUGCGUAGAUAUCAGGAGGAACACCGGUGGCGAAGGCGGCUUACUGGACGAUGACUGACGCUGAGGCUCGAAAGCGUGGGGAGCAAACAGG